RNAcentral lists this ribosomal RNA (301 nucleotides) under uncultured bacterium. Its description in RNAcentral is "partial 16S ribosomal RNA". It matches the Rfam family "Bacterial small subunit ribosomal RNA", at positions 509 to 807 of the family's 1533-position model. The record is from RNAcentral.
CAGCAGCCGCGGGAAAACGAGGGGAGCUAGCGUUAUUCGGAAUUACUGGGCGUAAAGCGCACGUAGGCGGCUUUGUAAGUUAGAGGUGAAAGCCCAGAGCUCAACUCUGGAAUUGCCUUUAAGACUGCAUCGCUUGAAUCCAGGAGAGGUGAGUGGAAUUCCGAGUGUAGAGGUGAAAUUCGUAGAUAUUCGGAAGAACACCAGUGGCGAAGGCGGCUCACUGGACUGGUAUUGACGCUGAGGUGCGAAAGCGUGGGGAGCAAACAGGAUUAGAUACCCCAGUAGUCCCUGUCUCUUAUAC